This is a long non-coding RNA of Xiphophorus hellerii (green swordtail), 1291 nucleotides long. RefSeq lists it as uncharacterized. The record is from RefSeq and is a predicted model, not a curated record. Lineage: Eukaryota; Metazoa; Chordata; Actinopteri; Cyprinodontiformes; Poeciliidae. The transcript has 2 exons.
ACAAGUAAACAACUGGCUGGCUGUUCAGGAUUUAAUAUCCAAACAUAUUUUAUUGAUCCCCACAAAAUGUGAAUGGGAGCCAAAUUGAUCAGAUUACCUAAAGAUUCAGUUGAACUGGUCCAAAGUUGAAGCCAGUUUGCAGUGAACUCUUUCCACCAAGAUCCUGACUGAGUUUACAGCAGCGAUGUGAAGAAACAGGCUGCUGUCAUUCUGUCUCUGGAGCCUGUUUAGAUUUAUUUACUGGUAUUUCUUCUUAGAAAUGUUUUUCUUGUAAACUCUGUGUUUUCAUAUCCCUCAUUUAGACAUUUGUCUAAAACGUCCCUCCCAGUAAAAGUUCCUCUUCUAAGCUGAAGGAAACCACACGACUUAUUUCUGUCUCUCUGUGUGAACCGAGGAGUCUGUUCUUCCAUUAGCUCUGUUACGAUGUUCAGAGUAAAUGUGUUCACUCCUGUGCACAUUAUCACUUCGUCUUGCUUUGUUUUUGGAUUUAAACAUUCAUCACGAUUUAGUAGGAAAUCCUUGCAAGUUUUUGCAAAAGUACAAAAGUGAAGCAUCAGGUUCUAAAAUGAUCUUAGUCUGGCCUCAAGGGGAAGAAAACACAUAAUGUAUUUUGCAUUAGAUUGACAGACAACACCAACUCACAGACACACAAUAAUAAUUUGGCACCAGCACAGCCUGUGUUGUACAGGGGAAAAUACAAUUGUUUUUUUUACUUUUGUUGUGCUUUGCAUGUUUAGAUCGUUUUUGGGUUUGUUGUUUCUGUUUGGUUUUUUCCCUUUAACAAUCCAAGCGCACUGGACUGAAGGUGGUUCUCUAAGGAGGCGGAGCGCACUAAUUGGCCGCACAUACAGGUGUCAGCAGAGGCUGAUUGAGGCCGGAAUAAAAGGAGCCUGGAUGGAAGAGGAAGAGAGGACUGAUUCUGUAGGCUACGGAGACUGGCACGCUGCAGAGUGAGGGGGCAGACGGAACCCGUACGUCAGGCACAGAACACCGGGAGUUGAACAGACGGUCCAGUACAGAGGACCUCUGCCCUGAUCCUUUGGAUUGGGCCGAAGAGUGGAGCGGUGCUGGAGCGUCACGCAGUCAGCUGUGGAUCGGCAAAAGAGAGCGCUGCAGACGGAUCGUCUCUACCAGGAGCAGCAUAAGAAGCGGAACCCAACCCGUGGCCUCUAAUUGGUGACUUUUGUUUAAGGACAAUUAUUGAUUCCUGGAUUUUAUGGAGGAAAAAGGGGAUGGUUUUAAUGUGUCACUAUUAGAGUGACUUUCUUGUAAUAAGAUACAUUGCGCUUGA